This 561-nucleotide ribosomal RNA is filed under the name Massilia agri. RNAcentral's name for it is "bacterial SSU rRNA". It matches the Rfam family "Bacterial small subunit ribosomal RNA", at positions 359 to 917 of the family's 1533-position model. Lineage: Bacteria; Pseudomonadati; Pseudomonadota; Betaproteobacteria; Burkholderiales; Oxalobacteraceae. The record is from RNAcentral.
GUGCACGGAUGGGCGCAGCCUGAUCCAGCAAUGCCGCGUGAGUGAAGAAGGCCUUCGGGUUGUAAAGCUCUUUUGUCAGGGAAGAAACGGUUCAGGCUAAUAUCCUGGGCUAAUGACGGUACCUGAAGAAUAAGCACCGGCUAACUACGUGCCAGCAGCCGCGGUAAUACGUAGGGUGCAAGCGUUAAUCGGAAUUACUGGGCGUAAAGCGUGCGCAGGCGGUUUUGUAAGUCUGACGUGAAAGCCCCGGGCUCAACCUGGGAAUUGCGUUGGAGACUGCAAGGCUUGAAUCUGGCAGAGGGGGGUAGAAUUCCACGUGUAGCAGUGAAAUGCGUAGAGAUGUGGAGGAACACCGAUGGCGAAGGCAGCCCCCUGGGUCAAGAUUGACGCUCAUGCACGAAAGCGUGGGGAGCAAACAGGAUUAGAUACCCUGGUAGUCCACGCCCUAAACGAUGUCUACUAGUUGUCGGGUUUUAAUUAACUUGGUAACGCAGCUAACGCGUGAAGUAGACCGCCUGGGGAGUACGGUCGCAAGAUUAAAACUCAAUGAAAUUUGACGGA